UACAGAGGUCUCAAGCGUUGUUCGGAUUCAUUGGGCGUAAAGGGUGCGUAGGCGGCGCGGUAAGUCGGGUGUGAAAUCUCGGAGCUUAACUCCGAAACUGCAUUCGAUACUGCCGUGCUUGAGGACUGGAGAGGAGACUGGAAUUUACGGUGUAGCGGUGAAAUGCGUAGAUAUCGUAAGGAAGACCAGUGGCGAAGGCGGGUCUCUGGACAGUUCCUGACGCUGAGGAGCGAAAGCGUGGGGAGCAAACAGG
Molecule: ribosomal RNA, 253 nt
Filed under: uncultured bacterium
Lineage: Bacteria
Description: partial 16S ribosomal RNA
Rfam family: Bacterial small subunit ribosomal RNA
Source: RNAcentral